This 497-nucleotide ribosomal RNA is filed under the name uncultured bacterium. Its description in RNAcentral is "partial 16S ribosomal RNA". It matches the Rfam family "Bacterial small subunit ribosomal RNA", at positions 28 to 507 of the family's 1533-position model. The record is from RNAcentral.
GAUGAACGCUGGCGGCGUGCCUAAUACAUGCAAGUCGAGCGAACAGACGAGGAGCUUGCUCCUCUGACGUUAGCGGCGGACGGGUGAGUAACACGUGGAUAACCUACCUAUAAGACUGGGAUAACUUCUGGAAACCGGAGCUAAUACCGGAUAAUAUAUUGAACCGCAUGGUUCAAUAGUGAAAGACGGUUUUGCUGUCACUUAUAGAUGGAUCCGCGCCGCAUUAGCUAGUUGGUAAGGUAACGGCUUACCAAGGCAACGAUGCGUAGCCGACCUGAGAGGGUGAUCGGCCACACUGGAACUGAGACACGGUCCAGACUCCUACGGGAGGCAGCAGUAGGGAAUCUUCCGCAAAGGGCGAAAGCCUGACGGAGCAACGCCGCGUGAGUGAUGAAGGUCUUCGGAUCGUAAAACUCUGUUAUUAGGGAAGAACAAAUGUGUAAGUAACUAUGCACGUCUUGACGGUACCUAAUCAGAAAGCCACGGCUAACUACGUG